This 269-nucleotide ribosomal RNA is filed under the name uncultured prokaryote. RNAcentral describes it as "partial 16S ribosomal RNA". It matches the Rfam family "Bacterial small subunit ribosomal RNA", at positions 524 to 792 of the family's 1533-position model. The record is from RNAcentral.
UACGUAGGUGGCGAGCGUUAUCCGGAAUUAUUGGGCGUAAAGAGCGCGCAGGUGGUUGAUUAAGUCUGAUGUGAAAGCCCACGGCUUAACCGUGGAGGGUCAUUGGAAACUGGUCGACUUGAGUGCAGAAGAGGGAAGUGGAAUUCCAUGUGUAGCGGUGAAAUGCGUAGAGAUAUGGAGGAACACCAGUGGCGAAGGCGGCUUCCUGGUCUGUAACUGACACUGAGGCGCAAAAGCGUGGGGAGCAAACAGGAUUAGAUACCCCCGUA